GAUGAACGCUGGCGGCGUGCCUAAUACAUGCAAGUCGAGCGAACAGACGAGGAGCUUGCUCCUCUGACGUUAGCGGCGGACGGGUGAGUAAAACGUGGAUAACCUACCUAUAAGACUGGACUAACUUCGGGAAACCGGAGCUAAUACAGGAUAAUAUAUUUAACUGAAUGGUUCAAUAGUGAAAGACGGUUUUGCUGUCACUUAUAGAUGGAUCCGCGCCGCAUUAGCUAGUUGGUAAGGUAACGGCUUACCAAGGCAACGAUGCGUAGCCGACCUGAGAGGGUGAUCGGCCACACUGGAACUGAGACACGGUCCAGACUCCUACGGGAGGCAGCAGUAGGGAAUCUUCCGCAAGGGGCGAAAGCCUGACGGAGCAACGCCGCGUGAGUGAUGAAGGUCCUCGGAUCGUAAAACUCUGUUAUUAGGGAAGAACAAAUGUGUAAGUAACUAUGCACGUCUUGACGGUACCUAAUCAGAAAGCCACGGCUAACUACGUG
Molecule: ribosomal RNA, 497 nt
Filed under: uncultured bacterium
Lineage: Bacteria
Description: partial 16S ribosomal RNA
Rfam family: Bacterial small subunit ribosomal RNA
Source: RNAcentral